Lotus japonicus is the source of this 5468-nucleotide long non-coding RNA. RefSeq lists it as uncharacterized. The transcript has 5 exons. The record is from RefSeq and is a predicted model, not a curated record. NCBI's taxonomy places the organism in Eukaryota, Viridiplantae, Streptophyta, Magnoliopsida, Fabales, Fabaceae.
AAGAUUAGGGAAAAAAAAAGAAGAGAAAAACUAAACCAAUUUUACCCAAAACCCACUAACAGUACCCCACUCCCCAAUUACAAAUGUUUCAAACCAUAUUCCAUCUCUUCGUCUCUCUCUCUCGUGACAUUUCUUUUCUCUCCUAUGUGCGGCAACUCCUUCUUCUCUCUUCUUCUUCAUCAUUUUCUUCUUCCCUCACCGACAACAUACAAUACUCCAGCAAUAAAAAUUACAUGCUUUGAAGGUAGAAUAUAUCAUUCAAGUUGAAGACCCGUGGAUUAACUUUUGGGGUUAAGGCUAUGCUCUGGGGAAGGGGAAAAUUACCCACCCUUCGGAUUGCACAUUUGAUUUCGUUGAGACUUACCGGCUAGUGAUUCGUUCGUGUGUCCUGAAGUUGUUGGGAGCAAUCAUGUUGAUUCUUCGUAACUAUUUUCAGGCAACUGAGUAGCAGACCAUUGUCAGAUUCAGAUCAUUCGACUUAUUUCCUUUGACAGGUUGUCAUAUUGAUGACUUUUAUUUAAUCCUGGUUAUCUGCAGCUAUAGGGAGUCCUAGGUGGAUUUAGAUUUGAGAUUUAGAUUUAUUAUUUUAUUUUAAGAGUCGACACUGGAGUACUCGAGUUAAUUUGAUAUUUUACUUGAAAUACGGGUUAUGGAAGAGCUUAUUGGCAUAUGUUGUUAUUUUUGUAACUAUUGAAAAUCAAAAGAGAUUUUGCUGAAAUUUUAUAAAUUAUGUCUACAUGGUUAUUUUGAAUAAAUUGCUUGGAAAAUGAUUCUAUGAGUAUGAGGCUUGCCAGGCUAAGGUGGUAGUCUGUGCGCCGGUCACGAUUUAGGAUUUUGGGUCGUGACAAAGUUGGUAUCAGAGCUUUGGCUGUAGGUCCUAUUAGCUGCAGACAUGAGGUAGAGAUAGAAUCUUUCUAGUAAAUUGUGAACCGCGGCACAACUUACUUCAAAGAUGCUAUUAACGCCCCAUGAGAUUCCUAGAGUCGUUUCCAAAGUGUGAUUUGAGUUUGUUCCUCAUUCACAAAAAUCAGAGUCAUGUCUUAUAUUUGAUGAAUAUUCUUUUGUUCAGUGAGCAUGCCACCUAAAUUUGAUUUUCUAUUAGCGGAUGAGUUAGCUUAUUUAGAACCUCUUAAGGUGGUAGUGGUCGACGUUGUAGUGUAGGCCAAGGACCAUCGUCGAUUGGGGCUUGUUGUUCAUUGAUGUAGCUAACGUAAGGUGUUUAUACUGAGGUAAUGAAAUUCAUGGACGACAGAACUUACGGUUGGUAUAAGGAAUUAUAGCAUGAAUUGCAAUAACGCGUCUGAGUGAUUUUUUUGGGCAGCAACAACCCACAUUAGACAAUUUAUGAGCGUAAACUAGGUGUUGGAAAGAAGGGAGCAACACCAAGUAGGCACCACUAGAGAGAUUGAGGUCACGUUGAAUUGGGUUUGUAAAGCUUAAAUUCUCCUACCUUUCUAGUACUUGUGCAAUUGAGGAACAAAAUCGGGUAGUGCUUUAGGGGGACUAUGGAGAAUACUUGGAUGCGCACACAUUAGAGCGGUGGAGUUAACGUCAUUUCAGUUAGAUGGUGUAGUACUAGUAUAUGAUUGGUUUGUUGACUUUACGCAUAUGAGAACAAUGGGAUCGCCUCCGUUAGCAUGGGCUGAGUUUUAGCAGAAAUUUAUAUAUCAUUUCCUUCUAUAGCGUGUAGGAAUGGCAUAACUUGGGAGUUUGAGCGACUGAAGAAGGCUGAAGGCAUGACUGUAACCGAGUAUAGUGUCUGUUUUAGCUGUAUAUGUUGAUAUAUAUAUAUAUAUAUAUAUAUAUAUAUAUAUAUAUUUCCCUUAUUCUCUUAUUGAAGAAAUGUGUGCUAGGAGAUUUGUUAGAGAACUGGGCAAAUAUCUAUUUGGAUACAUGGUUUGGUGGAAUUCCACUUUUACCAAGGUUUUAAGUCUGGUGUGUCAAGUAGAGCAGCGGAAGAAUGAAACCCAGCAUUAAAUCACCAUAUUUUUUAUAAGAAACAAUGACUUGAUAGAUCACAUAAUAAUCAUUGAAUCAUGGCAGUGGGUUAAACCCCGUCACUAGAAACAACAACGUGGUAGAGGAAUCUUAUGGGAGAGAUCAGAGAUAGGUGAGUAGAGGUCAAACUUUAGUUUUUGUGUUUACUUUUCGGGACACUUAUGCUACCAAUGCAUGGUUACAAGUAUACUUUCUAUAUAUUCUUGAGAUGCUCGUUUUCGUUUGAUCUAAAAGCUAUAUACUUCCCAUUUUCUUUUAUAUGCUUCUCAUGUUGGUAAACUCUCUUUCUUGAAAUGAUAUGUUGGUUAUGGGCUUGUGGCUACACCUCCUGAAGAAUUUUCUAUAGUUAAUUUUGUGGACCAUCCUGUGGUGGUACUCGUUGGAGAUUGAGAGGUUUUGGUAGACUUAAUUGCAUUAGGCACGAUUGAUUUUGAUGUGAUCUUUAGGUAUGGAUUGAUUGACCCUUUAUCAUGAUACUUUGAAUUGUCACAACAGAGUAGUGAAGUUUAAAUUACCUAGAGAGUCAUCUUUCUCAUUUUCAGGAGAUUGAAGUUGGACACCAUAUAAUCUAAUUUCAGCAUUGGGAACUAACAUGUUACUAAGGAAGGGUUUUCAAGGAUACUUAGUUUUGAUAUGAUAUACUGAAAAAGCUUAAAUGGACACAAGAAGAGAUUCUUAUAGUGUGUAAAUUUUUGAAUGUAAUUCUUGGUGUACCGCCUAACAUGGAGAUAAAGUUUCCCACACACUUGGUUCCUAACACUAGUUUUAUUUGUGAAGAAUAAAGAUUGAACUACGCAAUUAUUGUUUGCUUACAGAAAGGUUGGAUAAUGUGACAACAAAGAAUAAAUAUCAUUUGCCUCAAGCACAUGAGUUGUUUGAUCGGCUACAAGGAGCCCAAUAGUUUUGAAAAAAAAAAAUGACUUGCAAUCUGAGUAUCAUCAAUUGAAUAUUGAGAAGGAAGAAAUUUUGAGAUAACUUUUGAAACAUGCUAUGGCCAUAAUAAUUUAUUAGUCAUGCCUUGGGAAGUAGUGAUGUCACUAUCAUUUUCAUGGACUUAAUGAGUCGCAUCUUUAAAUCAUUCCUGGAUCAUUUCGUGAUUGUUCUUAUUGAUUAUUCUUGUAUAUUCCUAAGGACUAGGAAUGACACUAGAAGCUUGUUGAUAGUAGAGUUUGGAUUGGGUUGCAUGUUUCAACUCGUCGUUGGCACACGUGAAAAUCCGUUCUAAUUUUGUUGAUGAGUUUAGAUUGACUCAAGGUCAAGGUCCUUAAUUGGUGAAGAUGGUAGAGGAUGUUCAAAGUGGUAAAGUUUGACUUUCAUAAUGUUUUACAACUUGAUUCUUUGAUGUGUGUGGCUAAGGUGGUUAGUUUGAGAAGAUAAAUAUGUGGAGAUACUCAUCAUUAUUUUUAAAGCCAUGCCAUACAUCCAUUUUAUAGUAAGAUGUAUCGAGAUGUGAAAGAAUUUUAUUGGUGGGAAGAGAUGAAGAAAGACAUAGAAAAUCUGCUUUUGAAUGUUUGUCAUGUCAGCAAGUGAAGGUUGAGUAUAAAAUCAAGUAAUGAUGUUUCAAUUUGUUGAGAUAUCAUAGGGGAAGUGAGAAGGUGUUGUUAUGAACUUGGUGAUGGUUGCUUAGAAGUAUUAUGAUUUAGUAUCGGUGAUUAUGAAUCGAUUGAUUGAGUAUGCACACUUCUUGCCUAUGAAGAGUACUUAUGUUGUUUCUAUGUAUAUUAAGAUUUACCUUGGAUGAGAUUGUGGUUUGUAUGGUGUAAGUGUGUCUAUGAUUUCAGAUCAAUGAGCUCCAUUGAAUGCACAAUUUUAGAAGACUUAGCAAACUGUUGUGGGGUCUGGAUCAAAUUUGGGUAUAACUUUUUAUGAUAAAUGGAUCGCUAAUUUGAGAGGAAUAUUUAGAUCUUGGGGAAUAUAUUUCAUGCUUGUGUAUUAUAAUUUAUACGGAGUUUGGAUUUGUACUAGUUUUAACGAAAUUUUCUUAUAGUAACAACUAUUAGUCAUGCAUACAGAUGACACCAUAUGAGGUCUUGUUUGGUGAGGCAAAUCACUAAUAUGGUGGUUUGAAGUUGGGGAAGCUAUGCUUGUAGGUACAAAGUUUGUCAAAAAGGUAGUAGAGGAAGUAAAGCUAGUUCGAGAUUGUUUGGUUACCUCAUAGUGAGAAAAAAGUCUUAUGUUGAUAGAAGAUGACACUCCUUAGAGUUCGCAGAUGGUGACUUUUUUUUACGAGUUUUAUCAAUGAAAGGAGUGAUCAGUUGGUUAAGAAGGGAAAGCUGACACCAAAAAUUUAAUAGAAUGUUGGAGGUCUUAGAGAGGGUUGGUGUUGUAGCUUAUCGAUUGGAACUUCCGCAGAAGUCUUUCUACAGUUUUUCAAUUUUCUUCGCUUCGAAAAUACUAAUAUGAUUCUUCUCACACUUUUCAUCAUCAUGAAAAUGUAAAUUUAGAUGAGUGAUUAUCUUAUAUUGAGCAUCUAGUACCCAUGGUUGAUAUAAGGUGAACUGCUUGGAUACUUGUUCAGUGAAAGUUCUUUCGCAAGAAACUACUUGAAGAAGUGAGAUAACUAUACGUGAGAAGUAUCUCUCAUUGUUGGAGACCCAAGGUUAGUUCAAACUUCAAAAUUCGAGGACGAAUUUUUCUUCAAGGAGGGAAGACUGAAACGACCCACUUUAUUAAAUAUUAAUUCCUAUUAUUAUAAUUAUUACUUUAAAAGAAAAGAGAAUAAGAUUAGGAAAAAAAAAAGAAGAGAAAAACUAAACCAAUUUUACCCAAAACCCACUAACAGUACCCCACUCCCCAAUUACAAAUGUUUCAAACCAUAUUCCAUCUCUUCGUCUCUCUCUCGUGACAUUUCUUUUCUCUCCUAUGUGCGGCAACUCCUUCUCUCUUCUUCUUCAUCAUUUUCUUCUUCCCUCACCGACAACAUACAAUACUCCAACAAUAAAAAUUACAUGCUUUGAAGGUAGAAUAUAUCAUUCAAGUUGAAGACCCGUGGAUUAACUUUUGGGGUUAAGGCUAUGCUCUGGGGAAGGGGAAAAUUACCCACCCUUCGGAUUGCACAUUUGAUUUCGUUGAGACUUACCGGCUAGUGAUUCGUUCGUGUGUCAUGAAGUUGUUGGGAGCAAUCAUGUUGAUUCUUCGUAACUAUUUUCAGGCAACUGAGUAGCAGACCAUUGUCAGAUUCAGAUCAUUCGACUUAUUUCCUUUGACAGGUUGUCAUAUUGAUGACUUUUAUUUAAUCCUGGUUAUCUGCAGCUAUAGGGAGUCCUAGGUGGAUUUAGAUUUGAGAUUUAGAUUUAUUAUUUUAUUUUAAGAGUCGACACUGGAGUACUCGAGUUAAUUUGAUAUUUUACUUGAAAUACGGGUUAUGGAAGAGCUUAUUGGCAUAUGUUGUUAUUUUUGUAACUAUUGAAAAUCAAAAGAGAUUUUGCUGAAAUUUUAUAAAUUAUGUCUACAUGGUUAUUUUGAAUAAA